RNAcentral lists this microRNA precursor (61 nucleotides) under Alligator mississippiensis (American alligator). RNAcentral describes it as "Ami-Mir-190-P3_pre stem-loop". It matches the Rfam family "mir-190 microRNA precursor family", at positions 10 to 69 of the family's 78-position model. The record is from RNAcentral. Lineage: Eukaryota; Metazoa; Chordata; Crocodylia; Alligatoridae.
UGAUAUGUUUGAUAUUAGGUUGUUUUAUUGGAAAGCCAACUAAAUAUCAAACAUAUUCUUA